Long non-coding RNA from Triticum aestivum (bread wheat), 2534 nucleotides. RefSeq lists it as uncharacterized. NCBI's taxonomy places the organism in Eukaryota, Viridiplantae, Streptophyta, Magnoliopsida, Poales, Poaceae. The transcript has 2 exons. The record is from RefSeq and is a predicted model, not a curated record.
UAACCUGAAGAAAUACCUAGCAAGUGUCAGAGUAUAGUUGCAAUAGGUUAAGUAAAAAAGCAAAUCAGGGGGUGCAAACUAUCACGUGCUUUCCGCUGAAAUUUUUGUCAAGAGAGAUAAUUAAACUAAGCUAGUAUUGAUAAGUGUUGACCUGUCAUUGGUUUUACGUGGCCAUACAAAUUUUUUUGAAUGAAAAGUAAAACACCCAUAGUGAUAGCUCUAGCCAACAACCAAAAAUGUAGUCUCGAAGGAUAUAAAUGAACAUGCAUAGUCAUCAUAUUCAAUAAACUGUUAGACCACAGGCGACCUAGAAAAACUUUGGAGAUUCUCAAGUUAUAUGGAUUUUCUAGCUUAUAAGUCUGCACUACUGCUCGGUUUUGUAUCUUGUAAAAAUUGGUGUGAUUUUGUUUACAACACGAUGUUUAAGUGGCACCUCCAUAUAGGAUUACGACCUUCAUUAAUUUCACACAUGCAACCUUGCACUAUUCUUGUGCCUCGAAUAGAAAGACAACAAGGAAGCUUGCUUGCUCAAAAGAAAAUAUACAAUAUGGAAAUUUUACACUGUAAUUUCAAGUCCAAUUUAGACAGCUCCAAGUCAAUCAAAUAUACAGCUCAUCAUGACAGAACUGUUCUGUUUAUGAGACAUAUCUGUAGGGUAUAGUACAAUAGUACACCCAAAACCAGCUCUAGAAAGAAAGCACAAUGGUUAUCACCAAAAAGUCCCCCGCAUCGCCUCCUAGGGGCGGCUCGGGCGGAAACCCCAUCCACCACCGCCGGUCCCCUUCCACCCUCCUCAUCCCCUCACCGCCGCCGGCGCACGCCAUCAGGCAAAGCUCGCUGGCGGCCGACGGUGGUGGGACCUGGUCCUCGUGCACUCGCGGCGGGGAGGAGCGCUCCUCCCCGUGGUUAACUUGAUCUGGAUCUACGUGGCGCGGUGGCGGCUGGUCUCCGGCGGCGCUCCGGCGGGCUGUGGCAAGGUGGCUCCUGCUUCGUGGUUCUCCGGUGCAGCGUGGGGUGGCACCAGCGCAGGGCACGGCGCGGGGCGCGUGCGGCGGUGCUACGGGCCUGAUCUGGGCCGUGCAGGGCCUGCAGCGUGUGCGUGCAGGGGCGGCGUGGAGCUCGGCCGGUGCACCGGCAGCCGGUUCUGGCGCGUGAAGGUGCAGCGGUGCUGCUGCUGUUGGUGGUGGUGGCUUGCGGCCAAGGUCGUCGAGGGGCGCGGCCAAAGAGCGCCCCAGCCGUGAGUGAUGCAGAUCCGGUCUCCGGCGGCUGUGCUGGGAUGCAUGGGGCGCGCUGGUGUUUCUGUUGCUUGGCUGCAGCUCGGAACCACGGUGGUUCUUGGCUUCGGGCAGCGCUCCUCCGUUCCUGUCGGCAUGGUGCUUGGCAGAGCACGGUGGCUUGCGCUGCAUCCGGUGGCUGUGCGUCCGGAAGGCCAUUGAUGGAUCUGUCGCCUCGUUCUGGUGGUUGGCUGCCGGUGGUCUCCGUGAGGGAGCAACGAUUCGUAGUCUACCGGUGCUCCUCGGAGGUGGUCUGCUCACUUGGGUGAAAGCCACUGCUCCUGCCGGAGUCGGCGAUGGUGACGCCCUCGGGUGCUGCUUACCUCCUUGGAGGCAUCGUUGUCAUGAUGACUUCCCCUUCGAGGCUCCUGGGGAAAACCAUGUUCCUGGUCCGUCUGGAACGGCUAAUGGCGGCGCAUUUCGCGUCGCAUUCCUUCCUGAAGGCAUCAGCUUGGUGGAUUGUGUGGUGGCUGCUCACUGCGGGUUGGACGGUGGCGGUGGCACGGCCAGCUUGCGCUGGUGUGCUUGGAGAAGCGAUCCGGGUGUAGACUCGGCUCCUUGAUGCCCUUCGGCUUCGCCAGCGGUGCCGCUGUUGUGAUGUAGACUCGACUGCGUGUGACUCUUCGUCCGGGUGUGGACUCGGUCGUUUGUUGCCUUUCGGCUGCACCAAUAGCCUUGAGGCAUCAUGGAUGGUCUCGGUUGAUUGGAGCUCUUCGUCUACGGUGGUGGUGUUCUCGUGCGUCUCAGGUUGGUAAUGGUUGCUCAAGAUCCUCUCAUGAUUACCGUUGUGUUGCGGCGAGCUUGGUGCUCUUGGUCUUGUCUCGACUCAUCUUUGCUCAAGGAUGGCGCAAGAUGCCUCUCAAGCUGCUAUUCGUUCCGUUUUUCUGUGGCGGAGCCCGAGUCAAGGUUCAUGUCUGGGAUGACACUCGUUGAUUGUGGAUGCUCCUGAGUUGUGCCAUGGGGCCCGUAUGCCCGCCGAUGCGUUCUGCUGUUUGCAAAGUCCUAGUAUUGUGAUCUCUCGACGACACCCCACAUCUACUUGUGUCUCUCAUGAUGAUGGUCUUAUGUCUGCCAGCUAGGAUGUGCCUUGUACGGUUUUCGGCCCGGUUUCCCUUAUAAACGGGGUCAAUUUGUUAAGGUUUUCGAUCCGGUUUUCCUUAUAAACUAGAUCACCACUCUGGCAUCUGGCCACUUUGAGUAGUAUAUUCUGGUGGGGAAACUCCCCCCGGUGAAUCUCAAAGAAAAAAACAAUGAUUAUCA